AGCAGCCGCGGUAAUUCCAGCUCCAAUAGCGUAUAUUAAAGUUGUUGCAGUUAAAAAGCUCGUAGUUGAAUUUCGGGGUUAGCAGGUCGGUCGUGCCAUUGGUAUGAACUGGUCUCGCUGAUCCCUCCCUCUUGACGAACUGUGAUGCCAUUAAUUUGGUGUCGCAGGGAAUCAGGACUGUUACUUUGAAAAAUUAGAGUGUUUAAAGCAGGUUCACGCUUGAAUACAUUAGCAUGGAAUAAUGAAAUAGGACGUUUGAUCCUGUUUUGUUGGCUUCUAGGAUUGACGUAAUGAUUAAUAGGGAUAGUUGGGGGCAUUAGUAUUCAAUUGUCAGAGGUGAAAUUCUUGGAUUUAUUGAAGACUAACUACUGCGAAAGCAUUUGCCAAGGAUGUUUUCAUUAAUCAAGAACGAAAGUUAGGGGAUCGAAGACGAUCAGAUACCGUCGUAGUCUUAACCAUAAACUAUGCCGACUAGGGAUCGGAUGAUGUUAAUUUUUAAUGA
This 502-nucleotide ribosomal RNA is filed under the name uncultured Glomus. RNAcentral's name for it is "SSU rRNA". It matches the Rfam family "Eukaryotic small subunit ribosomal RNA", at positions 569 to 1074 of the family's 1831-position model. The record is from RNAcentral. Lineage: Eukaryota; Fungi; Glomeromycota; Glomeromycetes; Glomerales; Glomeraceae.